GGAUUGUGGCUCAGUGGUAGAGCGCUCACCUAGCAUGUGCAAGGCUCUGGAUUCGAUCCUCAGCACCA
RNAcentral lists this transfer RNA (68 nucleotides) under Marmota monax (woodchuck). Its description in RNAcentral is "tRNA.Ala". Lineage: Eukaryota; Metazoa; Chordata; Mammalia; Rodentia; Sciuridae. The record is from RNAcentral.